This 24-nucleotide ribosomal RNA is filed under the name Pseudo-nitzschia brasiliana. RNAcentral's name for it is "partial large subunit ribosomal RNA". The record is from RNAcentral. Lineage: Eukaryota; Bacillariophyta; Bacillariophyceae; Bacillariales; Bacillariaceae.
AAGCAAGAGGACCCGCCGAAUUUC